Ciona intestinalis (vase tunicate) is the source of this 221-nucleotide non-coding RNA. The record is from RefSeq and is a predicted model, not a curated record. Lineage: Eukaryota; Metazoa; Chordata; Ascidiacea; Phlebobranchia; Cionidae.
UAUUUAUACAUAUAUUACAUUUCAGGUGUUUGACCUUGCUUCUGAUGAUGAGUUUAUUGUAACAACAACUGGACGAGAAGAAAUAAAUGAUGACGAUACUUUCGUGACACUUAUUGAGAGUGGGGACACGUUAUAUUUACUACAAUAUGUAGACCAGCCAUUAGAGGCACCUGUUGCAGAACACAUCGAGUACCAGCCUCAUUAUGAUACUUUAAUCAAAA